Molecule: ribosomal RNA, 420 nt
Filed under: uncultured organism
Description: bacterial SSU rRNA
Rfam family: Bacterial small subunit ribosomal RNA
Source: RNAcentral
GCGCACCAGGCGAGAAUUUUUCACAAUGGGGGAAACCCUGAUGGAGCGACGCCGCGUGGAGGAUGAAGGCGUUUUCGUCGUAAACUCCUGUCAUGCGAGAACAAGAAAGUGAUAGUAUCGCAAGAGGAAGAGGCGGCUAACUCUGUGCCAGCAGCCGCGGUAAUACAGAGGCCUCAAGCGUUGUUCGGAUUCAUUGGGCGUAAAGGGUGCGUAGGUGGCAUGGUAAGUUGAAGGUGAAAUCUCGGAGCUCAACUCCGAAACUGCCUUCAAUACUGCUGUGCUCGAGGACUGUAGAGGAGAAUGGAAUUCACGGUGUAGCAGUGAAAUGCGUAGAUAUCGUGAGGAAGACCAGUGGCGAAGGCGAUUCUCUGGGCAGUUCCUGACACUGAGGCACGAAGGCUAGGGGAGCAAACGGGAUUA